AUGAGYAGSUUUUGACCCGUGUMUGCCGGUAGAUCCCCCGACUUGUACUGCGGCCGACUACCGGCGCCGUGUCCCGUCCCUCGUGUGGCUUCGAAUGGCUGGAUUAAGAGUGCUUGCGUGCUAGUACCCGACCUACGGGAAGUGGUGCUUCGGAUAAUUGUUGCCUCGCGGCGGACGCCCUUUGGGUGUGCCGCUGCGGCCAAAUAGCGCUUGCGGCAUUGCCUCGUGGCGCUGGCACGUUACGUGCCCGCUGCUAUCARGGCAACCUCGCUCCCGCUUUUGGUCUCGGAUGCUGCUGACGAUAAAGGGUCGUGGCCCUUUCGGUUGCCUCGACCCGACCMAAAGCUCUCCGAAUUGAGAACAACCGGAACAGGAGUUGCCUCUACCUCUCCACAGUUACGUGGUAGGAUACGCGACUCUCUGCGCCGAUCCUCAAGRAGGAUGAGCAAUGCCGCUCAAGAGCGACAACCGGCCCGGCUGUUGCCUUUGAGUUUCCAUGAAAGUGGAAGCGCAAGACGAUGGUCGUGCUGGGCGUCACCAAGGAYRYGCU
RNAcentral lists this unclassified non-coding RNA (550 nucleotides) under Aegilops neglecta. RNAcentral's name for it is "partial external transcribed spacer". The record is from RNAcentral. Lineage: Eukaryota; Viridiplantae; Streptophyta; Magnoliopsida; Poales; Poaceae.